CCUACGGGAGGCUGCAGUAGGGAAUAUUGCUCAAUGGGGGACACCCUGAAGCAGCCACGCCGCGUGGAGGAUGAAGGUUUUCGGAUUGUAAACUCCUUUUGUUAGAGAAGAUAAUGACGGUAUCUAACGAAUAAGCACCGGCUAACUCCGUGCCAGCAGCCGCGGUAAUACGGAGGGUGCAAGCGUUACUCGGAAUCACUGGGCGGAAAGAGCGCGUAGGCGGGAUAGCAAGGCAGAUGUGAAAUCCUAUGGCUUAACCAUAGAACUGCAUUUGAAACUGUUAUUCUAGAGUAUGGGAGAGGUAGGUGGAAUUCUUGGUGUAGGGGUAAAAUCCGUAGAGAUCAAGAGGAAUACUCAUUGCGAAGGCGACCUGCUAGAACAUAACUGACGCUGAUGCGCGAAAGCGUGGGGAGCAAACAGGAUUAGAUACCCGGGUAGUC
RNAcentral lists this ribosomal RNA (440 nucleotides) under uncultured bacterium. RNAcentral describes it as "partial 16S ribosomal RNA". It matches the Rfam family "Bacterial small subunit ribosomal RNA", at positions 338 to 795 of the family's 1533-position model. The record is from RNAcentral.